Canis lupus familiaris (dog) is the source of this 1474-nucleotide long non-coding RNA. RefSeq lists it as uncharacterized. The record is from RefSeq and is a predicted model, not a curated record. The transcript has 8 exons. NCBI's taxonomy places the organism in Eukaryota, Metazoa, Chordata, Mammalia, Carnivora, Canidae.
GCUGACAUUCAGGAACAGAAUGGAAAGGGCUCUGCUCCUCGGCUAGCCAAGACCAUGGCUGAUUUGCAGGGGACAAUCUAGGGCAGUAAAGACCUGGAGAAGAUUUCAGGAGAACAGAAGAGUAAUAUCAAAGGCUAAACCAGAGCUCAGUCGAUUAAAAUAUUGGUGCUUCUACUAAUUGGCAUACUCCUAUGGUGCUAUUCUCAAGAUUCAUGCAGACAUAUUCCAGAAGUGUGGAUUCUGUCUUUGGCAACUUCACAGGAGAGAAAGAUGGCAUUGUUUCAAGUUGUCAGCAACCAGACGGUGCUUUUCUUUUGAUGAAUGAGAUACUGGUUGAGGAAUGUUCCUUCCACAAAGGUUCCAAAUUUCUCAUAAUCUUCUGCCAUUUAGAGAGGCCAGUUUUGUACUUACCAUGCCACUGAACAGAGAAAACUAUCUGCCUUAAAAGACUUUGGAGCAGAUUAUAUAAACCUGCAUUGAGAUAUAAAUUUCAGUUUCUCAUACUGACUCUGAAGAUACGCAUCCUUCUUUUUUAUAUUUGAUUGGUUGGAAAACAAAAAGAGAAAGAAAGAAAAGUCAUUUAAGAGGGAAAUUUAUGCCACCAACUACAUGCAAGGGAAAAGCACAUUACAUGCCGUCUGCUUGACCUUCAAAAGACAAGUCAAACGCCUCAACUAAUUACUCUCCUAGACUUUGAACUGACUUAAGAAACAGAAAUGCUGGACUUGCAAUAUUUUCAGCUUAGAACAAAACAAGAAGUCUUGUUCUCCUGGGAAGUCACUUCUCAGAAGUCUUCAAGCUUCAAGUUUUAGUAAAAAGAUAUUUAAAAUUUUAGAGCAAUACAUUUCUACUGGUCAUUGAAAAAGGAUAAAAUGCACUUCUGGUCAUCAGUAAAGGAAAAGGAAAAGCACCUGCAAUUCUGAAUCAAGCACCCAAUCUUACACACCUACUCUUCUCACGUGGUGGUAAGCUGCCAUUCGGUGAAGAUGUACUUUGUAAAAUCAUGAAGAAGGUCAGCAGUCUUUCAAACUCUACUAAAUUCCUGUCAUAUCCAUCUGCCACUACAACCUGGCCUGCUGAGCACCCUCAAGUCAAAUGCUUAGUUAUUAUACAGCUCAUCAGAAGUACUAAAAAUUCUGCUCUGGUAAUCCUGCCGUAGGAGGAAGAAUUCUGGCUUAAAGAAUGACCUCUAAAUCUAAGACAUGGGAAAAAUGCAGAGACUUAACCUUUGAAGUAUAGUCAUAUUACUACUGAGAAACUUGAAAGACUCUCAAUCUCUCCUCUAAAAAGAAGUGCUCCCCACAGCCUACCCUGCCCUGAUAAAAUGAAGAACUGCUACGCAAUCUUUCUGGACUUAAAGGUCAAUACUCGGGAACUCCUCUAAAGGAAGAAAACAAUGAAACAGAUGGGACCCAUACUUGGCACCUUUAACACUCAAUUUAUUAUAAAGUCCUGUCAAUAAAAUGCUGAAAUA